Homarus americanus (American lobster) is the source of this 2103-nucleotide long non-coding RNA. RefSeq lists it as uncharacterized. The transcript is spliced from 2 exons. NCBI's taxonomy places the organism in Eukaryota, Metazoa, Arthropoda, Malacostraca, Decapoda, Nephropidae. The record is from RefSeq and is a predicted model, not a curated record.
GGUGUGUCAGGUGACCAUGGUGUAGGGUGUGUGAGGUGACCAUGGUGUUAGUGUAGGGUGUGUCAGGUGACCAUGGUGUAGGGUGUGUCAGGUGAUCAAGGUGUUAGUGUAGGGUAUGGGUGUCGUGUACUUUAGUCUAACAUGACAAUUGUCACAGGUAAUACCAUUACCAAUUUCUGCUAUGUAAGACCAAGUCAUGCACAGCCUCUGAAAUCUUCCACUUGUAAACAAAGAGCAACAGUUCAUCCAUCCUACACUGGUGAACUUCUCUUAAUUAAUAUUACCAAUAACACUAGAGGGAAAUAAUGGGUCAUAAGGUCAUGCACUAAAGGAAAAUUAAUGUCAUCUUUUUGUCUUCUUCAGGUGAGGAAAUAACUCAUCAAUGAGAAUUUGGAGACGAGGACCAAUUGAACGGCCCGCUAUGUUUCUGGACCUCACAUUUCAAUUUCUUCCUCUGGGGUCACCUAAACUCUGUCAUCCACCAAGAUCGUCCUAGAAAUUGAAAGCCCAGAGACCUCGAUGGCCAUUCAAUCGGUCCUCACUGCCAAAUUUUCUUGACUUGUCAUGAUUCUCUUAAACGGAAGAUGGGGGGAAAAAAAAAAAGUUAAUUUUGCUAUGGUACCUGACCUAUGACAUCCACUUAACACAGUGACUGACACUCUCUGGGUUACACCUUAAAUCUUGUACCUGCCACUAAAUAAAAAUAUCUAAUUCCCCCCCCCCCAAAAAAAAGUUUAGUGUCUGGAUAUAAUACAGUACAUAAAUUGAGGUAUUAUCUGGGGUAAAAUAUACACCUGAAAAUAGUGUAACGUGGCCAGAUGAGGACCUCUGACACUACACAAAAUGAGACUUAUCUGUUCCUCUGUCCAUAAUAAGAAUGACAGAGCAGCAACCUUCACAUGGCCUAAACUUUGUAUAUACUGUCCUCUGUGUUGUAGGCGGCUCAACUAUGACACCAGAUGAUGAACACAGUGCCUCCCUCACAAAGCUUUACUGCAACACCUUUAUGGCACAGCAAAUGAUAAUCAAUGCAACUGGUUUCAUUCUCGUGAGCAAAUGCAAACUUUUCAAAUCAAAAUAAAAAAACAUUCAAAGUAAAAUUCAUGCAAAGGCAAAAUGCAGUGGAAAUGAAGGCAGUUAAAAAUGAGAAUAAAUCACAUAAAGAGUCAACUAUUAACUAAGUGUAUAAAUUAUAAACAAAGUCUAUUAUAAACCAGACAUAAAUCUUGGCAGUCAACCAUUUAUUACAUUCUGUCUGUCGUGAAAUUCUAAACUACGAGACAUUGAGUGGGGCCCCGUCACCCGAGGCAGACACACGACAAUCUAACUUUACCUGAACCACUUUAGCCACUGUAUAUUACUGAACACUUCUCAAUAUGAUCAUUAUUGUCAAGAUAAAACAGGAGCCAGACAUAGAAACUCAGUUAUGGUUAAUGAAUAAAAUAAAAUAGCAGUUCCUGAAUGAUUUUGUAAUAUAUUAUUUCCUGGUGUUUUGCCACAAAGUAAAACUCAGCUUAAUGAAAUGCAUAAAAUUAUAAAACUGAAAAUAACUUGUGAAAACUAAACACCAUAAAAUUAACGAUGCAGAGUAUAGCUAACCAUCCUAGUUGUUGAUCACUCAGUCAGGGAAGGAAGGUAUAAUUCUGUAACUCAUAAGCCAAUACUUGUACUGUAACUCAUAAGCCAAUACUUGUACUGUAACUCAUAAGCCUUCUACAUGCCAGGCACAACACUAAGACAUGCCACUCAUAACAGGGAGAUCCAGAUGGUAGCCUUUUAGUUAUGGUAAAAUACACAGGUUAUACAGUAAGAAUCUAUCACCUGAUCACAAAUAUUUACCCGGUCUUGGAAUCAUUAAUCACGGUCAGUAUCCUAUUAACAUUUUCGUAUCAAAACCUUAAUUGAAAAACAUCAACGUAAUUCAUCUUAAAUUCUAUGUAAAAUAUUUAAAAGCAAUCAGGUAAGAACAAAUUAAGAUAUUAAACUGAUUAAAUGUUGUUGGCAAAGAAAAAUUUAAUACUGUGAACAACAAUAGGAAAAGCAUUAUAGAGUUUUGCUUUGAUGACAAAUAUUAUGUCAGAACAAUUAAGAAAAUAAAACUUU